AGGAUACAACUAUAAUUAAACCAAGAAGUUUAUGAAGAAGGGAUCACUGGAUUUUGUCACUUUGGUACAAGAAGCAGAAAAGGAUAUCAUAGACCACCUUACUUAUACGGAAGCAUAGGAGCUGUUGAAGGAAAUUGCUGCCAGACAGUCAGCAGUAAUCACUGACAGCCUGUCCUGGCCCAGCUUGGACCAUCCUCAAGCUAACCAUGAUGGUGUGUUUGCAAGAAUUGUCCAUUUGGUAGACCAUGAUGAAGACCAGCUUUGUUGUGGCAUGGCCUGACAAUACUGUACAAGCCAGAGACCAAAAAAGGGUUAAGUGGUGACUGAUCCUCUCACCCUCCUUAUCCAGGAAACGUUUCGGAACAACGUGUUGGCACUGAAGAUGUGGAGGACACAGAUUGAUCACAGUACAUCCUUUGGAUACAUGGACACCUUCAACGGGACGACAACAAAACUGUACCUGCCUUUUUUAUGAAAGGAAGUAGUUAAUAAAAUUAUUGUUAACAGCUUUUUUAGUCUUGUUGUUUAAGAAUGCUUGCAACAUUUAAGUGGAUAAACGGUUGUUUUAAAUUUGAAUCUUCAGUAAUGAAUUUUUUAUUAAAUGAUGUAAUCUUAUUUCUUUCAAUAUAGUGUAAAUAAUAAGAACAUAAUUAUCCUUUGUAUACAAAAUGAAAACCAAGUUUACUGUUCUAUUAAUCAUUAUUUAUUUAUCUUGUUCUUUUGUCAGAAAUAUUACAGGGGCAUACAUACAGUAUUCCUUAAAUAAAAGGGGCAGUUCUUAGAAAAUAAACAUGUAUAGUAGCAAUGCAUAUUCAAACUUUUUCCACAUUUAUAACCAGCAACAAUAUGUAAG
Long non-coding RNA from Dreissena polymorpha, 853 nucleotides. RefSeq lists it as uncharacterized. The record is from RefSeq and is a predicted model, not a curated record. NCBI's taxonomy places the organism in Eukaryota, Metazoa, Mollusca, Bivalvia, Myida, Dreissenidae. The transcript has 3 exons.